This is an unclassified non-coding RNA of Callithrix jacchus (white-tufted-ear marmoset), 292 nucleotides long. It matches the Rfam family "Metazoan signal recognition particle RNA". Rfam says of the family: The signal recognition particle (SRP) is a universally conserved ribonucleoprotein. It is involved in the co-translational targeting of proteins to membranes. The record is from Ensembl. Lineage: Eukaryota; Metazoa; Chordata; Mammalia; Primates; Cebidae.
GCUGGGCGCGGUGGCGCGUGCCUGUAGUCCCGGCUACUCGGGAGGCUGAGGUGGGAGGAUCGCUUGAGUCCAGCAGUUCUGGGCUGUAGUGCGCUGUGCCGAUCGGGUAUCUGCACUAAGUUCGGUAUCAAUAUGGUGACCUCCCGGGACCACCAGGUUGCCUAAGGAGGGGUGAACCGGCCCGGGUUGGAAACGGAGCAGGUCAAAACUUCCGCGCUGAUCAGUAGCGGGAUGGCGCCUGUGACUAGCCACUGCACUCCAGCCUGGGCAACAUAGCGAGACCUCAUCUCUA